UUCCGUAGGUGAACCUGCGGAAGGAUCAUUACAGAGUUCAUGCCCUCACGGGUAGAUCUCCCACCCUUGAAUAUUAUACCUUAGUUGCUUUGGCAGGCCGGGGCAACCCCCGGGGCUUCGGCCUUGGUGUGCCUGCCAGAGGAAACAAACUCUGUUUUUAGUGAUGUCUGAGUACUAUAUAAUAGUUAAAACUUUCAACAACGGAUCUCUUGGUUCUGGCAUCGAUGAAGAACGCAGCGAAAUGCGAUAAGUAAUGUGAAUUGCAGAAUUCAGUGAAUCAUCGAAUCUUUGAACGCACAUUGCGCCCCGUGGUAUUCCGCGGGGCAUGCCUGUUCGAGCGUCAUUUCAACCCAUCAAGCUUCGGCUUGGUCUUGGGGCCUGCGAUUCCGCAGCCUCUAAACCCAGUGGCGGUGCCUCCGAGCUCUGAGCGUAGUAAUUCUUCUCGCUAUAGGGUCUCGGUGGUAUCUUGCCAGUAACCCCCCAAUUUUUUACAGGUUGACCUCGGAUCAGGUAGGGAUACCCGCUGAACUUAAGCAUAUCAAUAAGCGGAGGAAAAGAAACCAACAGGGAUUACCUCAGUAACGGCGAGUGAAGCGGUAACAGCUCAAAUUUGAAAUCUGCCGCAAGGCCGAGUUGUAAUUUGUAGAAGAUGCUUUGGGUAUGGCCCCGGUCUAAGUUCGUUGGAACACGACGUCAUAGAGGGUGAGAAUCCCGUAUGUGACUGGGUGCUUUUGCCUAUGUAAAGCUCUUUCGACGAGUCGAGUUGUUUGGGAAUGCAGCUCAAAAUGGGUGGUAUAUUUCAUCUAAAGCUAAAUAUUGGCCAGAGACCGAUAGCGCACAAGUAGAGUGAUCGAAAGAUGAAAAGCACUUUGGAAAGAGAGUUAAACAGUACGUGAAAUUGUUGAAAGGGAAGCGCUUGCAACCAGACUUGCACGCUGUUGAUCAUCCAGGCUUCUGUCUGGUGCACUCGGCAGCGUUCAGGCCAGCAUCGGUUCUGGUGGUGGGAUAAAGGCCUUGGGAAUGUAGCUUCUUUCGGGGAGUGUUAUAGCCCUCGGUGCAAUGCCGCCUAUCGGGACCGAGGACCGCGCUUCGGCUAGGAUGCUGGCGUAAUGGUUGUAAGCGACC
Molecule: ribosomal RNA, 1125 nt
Filed under: uncultured Lemonniera
Lineage: Eukaryota; Fungi; Ascomycota
Description: eukaryotic LSU rRNA
Rfam family: Eukaryotic large subunit ribosomal RNA (bases 497-1125)
Source: RNAcentral